UCCCUGGUGGCUCAGAUGGUAAAGAAUCUGCCUGCAAUGCAGGAGACCUGGGUUUGAGCCCUGGUCAGGAAG
This 72-nucleotide transfer RNA is filed under the name Bos taurus (domestic cattle). It matches the Rfam family "tRNA". From Rfam's summary of the family: Transfer RNA (tRNA) molecules are approximately 80 nucleotides in length. Their secondary structure includes four short double-helical elements and three loops (D, anti-codon, and T loops). The record is from Rfam by way of RNAcentral. RNAcentral also lists the same sequence under 4 other names. Lineage: Eukaryota; Metazoa; Chordata; Mammalia; Artiodactyla; Bovidae.